RNAcentral lists this long non-coding RNA (286 nucleotides) under Homo sapiens (human). Its description in RNAcentral is "HSALNT0131050". The record is from RNAcentral. Lineage: Eukaryota; Metazoa; Chordata; Mammalia; Primates; Hominidae.
ACAAAUCAAAGGCCUACCACAAAUUUGACUUAAUGAAUCACUUUGACUUUGUUACUGAGUUUACUCAUCUAUUGAACAAGAGGAGAACAGAUCUCUGACUGCUGAAGUAUAAAUACAAACAACGGAGUCAAAUUGGAAAUAGGAUAACAGCUGUUUUGAUGGCAAAGUAGUGUGGAGAACAAAGCUUGGGACUGAGAUUGAAACAAAAAGAAGUGACAACUUCUUUGCUCCUGGUUGUUUUACCAUCAACAUGACAGUUAUGGGAGAAUCGCGUAGCUCAGCCACU